UGGAAAUCAUUCGUAGAGUGCAAAGGCAUAAGGGAGCUUGACUGCGAGACCUACAAGUCGAGCAGGGACGAAAGUCGGGCUUAGUGAUCCGGUGGUUCCGCAUGGAAGGGCCAUCGCUCAACGGAUAAAAGCUACCCCGGGGAUAACAGGCUUAUCUCCCCCAAGAGUCCACAUCGACGGGGAGGUUUGGCACCUCGAUGUCGGCUCAUCGCAUCCUGGGGCUGUAGUCGGUCCCAAGGGUUGGGCUGUUCGCCCAUUAAAGCGGUACGCGAGCUGGGUUCAGAACGUCGUGAGACAGUUCGGUCCCUAUCCGUCGUGGGCGUAGGAAAUUUGAGAGGAGCUGUCCUUAGUACGAGAGGACCGGGAUGGACGCACCGCUGGUGUACCAGUUGUUCUGCCAAGGGCAUAGCUGGGUAGCUAUGUGCGGAAGGGAUAAGUGCUGAAAGCAUCUAAGCAUGAAGCCCCCCUCAAGAUGAGAUUUCCCAUAGCGUAAGCUAGUAAGAUCCCUGAAAGAUGAUCAGGUUGAUAGGUUCGAGGUGGAAGCAUGGUGACAUGUGGAGCUGACGAAUACUAAUAGAUCGAGGACUUAACCAUAUAA
This 598-nucleotide ribosomal RNA is filed under the name Bacillus thuringiensis serovar chanpaisis. Its description in RNAcentral is "bacterial LSU rRNA". It matches the Rfam family "Bacterial large subunit ribosomal RNA", at positions 2332 to 2925 of the family's 2925-position model. Lineage: Bacteria; Bacillati; Bacillota; Bacilli; Caryophanales; Bacillaceae. The record is from RNAcentral.